CAAGCUUGAAUUCGUAGUCAUAUGCUUGUCUCAAAGAUUAAGCCAUGCAUGUCUAAGUAUAAGCAAUCUAUACAGUGAAACUGCGAAUGGCUCAUUAAAUCAGUUAUCGUUUAUUUGAUAGUACCUUACUACUUGGAUAACCGUGGUAAUUCUAGAGCUAAUACAUGCUAAAAACCUCGACUUCGGGAGGGGUGUAUUUAUUAGAUAAAAAACCAAUGCCCUCCGGGGCUCCUUGGUGAUUCAUAAUAACUUAACGAAUCGCAUGGCCUUGUGCCGGCGAUGGUUCAUUCAAAUUUCUGCCCUAUCAACUUUCGAUGGUAGGAUAGUGGCCUACCAUGGUUUCGACGGGUAACGGGGAAUUAGGGUUCUAUUCCGGAGAGGGAGCCUGAGAAACGGCUACCACAUCCAAGGAAGGCAGCAGGCGCGCAAAUUACCCAAUCCCGACACGGGGAGGUAGUGACAAUAAAUACUGAUACAGGGCUCUUUUGGGUCUUGUAAUUGGAAUGAGUACAAUUUAAAUCCCUUAACGAGGAACAAUUGGAGGGCAAGUCUGGUGCCAGCAGCCGCGGUAAUUCCAGCUCCAAUAGCGUAUAUUAAAGUUGUUGCAGUUAAAAAGCUCGUAGUUGAACCUUGGGCCUGGCUGGCUGGUCCGCCUCACCGCGUGCACUGGUCCGGCCGGGUCUUUCCUUCUGGGGAGCCGUAUGCCCUUCACUGGGUGUGCUGGGGAACCAGGACUUUUACUUUGAAAAAAUUAGAGUGUUCAAAGCAGGCAUAUGCUCGGAUACAUUAGCAUGGAAUAAUAGAAUAGGACGUGUGGUUCUAUUUUGUUGGUUUCUAGGACCGCCGUAAUGAUUAAUAGGGAUAGUCGGGGGCAUCAGUAUUCAAUUGUCAGAGGUGAAAUUCUUGGAUUUAUUGAAGACUAACUACUGCGAAAGCAUUUGCCAAGGAUGUUUUCAUUAAUCAGUGAACGAAAGUUAGGGGAUCGAAGACGAUCAGAUACCGUCGUAGUCUUAACCAUAAACUAUGCCGACUAGGGAUCGGGCGAUGUUAUCUUUUUGACUCGCUCGGCACCUUACGAGAAAUCAAAGUUUUUGGGUUCUGGGGGGAGUAUG
RNAcentral lists this ribosomal RNA (1112 nucleotides) under Microglossum sp. PDD70355. RNAcentral's name for it is "SSU rRNA". It matches the Rfam family "Eukaryotic small subunit ribosomal RNA", at positions 1 to 1127 of the family's 1831-position model. The record is from RNAcentral. Lineage: Eukaryota; Fungi; Ascomycota; Leotiomycetes; Helotiales.